AGAGUUUGAUCCUGGCUCAGAUUGAACGCUGGCGGCAUGCUUUACACAUGCAAGUCGAACGGCAGCACAGGGAGCUUGCUCCCCGGGUGGCGAGUGGCGCACGGGUGAGUAAUACAUCGGAACGUGUCCUGUUGUGGGGAUAACUGCUCGAAAGGGUGGCUAAUACCGCAUGAGACCUGAGGGUGAAAGCGGGGAUCGCAAGACCUCGCGCAAUUGGAGCGGCCGAUGCCCGAUUAGCUAGUUGGUGAGGUAAAGGCUCACCAAGGCGACGAUCGGUAGCUGGUCUGAGAGGACGACCAGCCACACUGGGACUGAGACACGGCCCAGACUCCUACGGAGCA
RNAcentral lists this ribosomal RNA (341 nucleotides) under uncultured bacterium. RNAcentral describes it as "bacterial SSU rRNA". It matches the Rfam family "Bacterial small subunit ribosomal RNA", at positions 8 to 349 of the family's 1533-position model. The record is from RNAcentral.